Molecule: ribosomal RNA, 515 nt
Filed under: uncultured bacterium
Lineage: Bacteria
Description: partial 16S ribosomal RNA
Rfam family: Bacterial small subunit ribosomal RNA
Source: RNAcentral
GAUGAACGCUGGCGGCGUGCCUAAUACAUGCAAGUCGAGCGAAUGGAUUAAGAGCUUGCUCUUAUGAAGUUAGCGGCGGACGGGUGAGUAACACGUGGGUAACCUGCCCAUAAGACUGGGAUAACUCCGGGAAACCGGGGCUAAUACCGGAUAACAUUUUGAACCGCAUGGUUCGAAAUUGAAAGGCGGCUUCGGCUGUCACUUAUGGAUGGACCCGCGUCGCAUUAGCUAGUUGGUGACGUAACGGCUCACCAAGGCAACGAUGCGUAGCCGACCUGAGAGGGGGAUCGGCCACACUGGGACUGGGACACGGCCCGGACUCCUACGGGAGGCAGCAGUAGGGGAUCUUCCGCAAUGGACGAAAGUCUGACGGAGCAACGCCGCGUGGGUGAUGAAGGCUGUCUGGUCGUAAAACUCUGUUGUUAGGGAAGAACAAGUGCUAGUUGAAUAAGCUGGCACCUUGACGGUACCUAACCAGAAAGCCACGGCUAACUACGUGCCAGCAGCCGCCGUAA